UGCAAGUCGAACGCUUCUUUCCUCCCGAGUGCUUGCACUCAAUUGGAAAGAGGAGUGGCGGACGGGUGAGUAACACGUGGGUAACCUACCCAUCAGAGGGGGAUAACACUUGGAAACAGGUGCUAAUACCGCAUAACAGUUUAUGCCGCAUGGCAUAAGAGUGAAAGGCGCUUUCGGGUGUCGCUGAUGGAUGGACCCGCGGUGCAUUAGCUAGUUGGUGAGGUAACGGCUCACCAAGGCCACGAUGCAUAGCCGACCUGAGAGGGUGAUCGGCCACACUGGGACUGAGACACGGCCCAGACUCCUACGGGAGGCAGCAGUAGGGAAUCUUCGGCAAUGGACGAAAGUCUGACCGAGCAACGCCGCGUGAGUGAAGAAGGUUUUCGGAUCGUAAAACUCUGUUGUUAGAGAAGAACAAGGACGUUAGUAACUGAACGUCCCCUGACGGUAUCUAACCAGAAAGCCACGGCUAACUACGUGCCAGCAGCCGCGGUAAUACGUAGGUGGCAAGCGUUGUCCGGAUUUAUUGGGCGUAAAGCGAGCGCAGGCGGUUUCUUAAGUCUGAUGUGAAAGCCCCCGGCUCAACCGGGGAGGGUCAUUGGAAACUGGGAGACUUGAGUGCAGAAGAGGAGAGUGGAAUUCCAUGUGUAGCGGUGAAAUGCGUAGAUAUAUGGAGGAACACCAGUGGCGAAGGCGGCUCUCUGGUCUGUAACUGACGCUGAGGCUCGAAAGCGUGGGGAGCAAACAGGAUUAGAUACCCUGGUAGUCCACGCCGUAAACGAUGAGUGCUAAGUGUUGGAGGGUUUCCGCCCUUCAGUGCUGCAGCAAACGCAUUAAGCACUCCGCCUGGGGAGUACGACCGCAGGUGAAACUCAAGGAAUUGAGGGGGCCCGCACAAGCGGUGGAGCAUGUGGUUUAAUUC
RNAcentral lists this ribosomal RNA (922 nucleotides) under Enterococcus faecalis. Its description in RNAcentral is "bacterial SSU rRNA". It matches the Rfam family "Bacterial small subunit ribosomal RNA", at positions 56 to 952 of the family's 1533-position model. Lineage: Bacteria; Bacillati; Bacillota; Bacilli; Lactobacillales; Enterococcaceae. The record is from RNAcentral.